Molecule: ribosomal RNA, 519 nt
Filed under: Abelocephala sp. 2 MF-2017
Lineage: Eukaryota; Metazoa; Arthropoda; Insecta; Hemiptera; Reduviidae
Description: partial 28S ribosomal RNA
Rfam family: Eukaryotic large subunit ribosomal RNA
Source: RNAcentral
AGAGAGGUAAGAAAAGAAUGGUUAAAUAUUUGUUUCUUACACUUUUUUUUUCCCCCUUUUUCAAGACCUUAAACAAGAAAUGAGGUGGGGGGGGGGAAAAAAGACUCUUCUUUUUUUUUUUUUUUUUAAGGGAAGAUGGAAAUGUUAAUUAAUUAACAACUUUUGUUAAUUUCUAAUAAUUUCCCGCAUUCCCAGGGCGUUUGUUACUCUCAAGUGAGUCUAUGCGCACCUAGAGCGUACACGAUGAUACCCGAAAGAUGGUGAACUAUGCCUGGCCAGGACGAAGCCAGGGGAAACCCUGGUGGAGGUUCGCAGCGAUUCUGACGUGCAAAUCGAUCGUCAGAGCUGGGUAUAGGGGCGAAAGACCAAUCGAACCAUCUAGUAGCUGGUUCCCUCUGAAGUUUCCCUCAGGAUAGCUUGCGCUCGAUUUUAGAGUCUCAUCCGGUAGAGCGAAUGAUUAGAGGCUAUGGGGUCGAAACGACCUCAACCUAUUCUCAAACUCCAAAUAGAUGAGACCCC